AAACAGAGAGAGGCCACGUGAGUCAUGAACCGCAAAUGACUGAUGUGGAUAAUCAUUGAUGACUUUGAAGAUUGCUAUUUAGGCUGGAGUGCAGUGGAGUGAUCUCAGCUCACUGCAACCUCCGCCUCCCGGGUUCAAGCUGUUCUCGUGCCUCAGCCUCCCAAGUAGCUGGAAUUACAGGCCAACAAAAUGGAAAUGAAAGAAACUGCUAAACAGGAUACACUGUGGCAAAUGAGCUCAACUAGCAAACCCGUGUUGAAUACUCGUGAAGUCAAUCCUUUGAAGAAAUUCACCAUUCCUAAGAUCAGGAGGACAGCUGAGAAAGAAUAGAUGCACGUUCUGCAUCCUUCCCACUAAGUACACCUAAAAACCCUGGACAUUUUUAUGAAACAAAUAUGAAAAGACUUUCGAAACUGGAGAGAAGACCAACCAACUAGGGAAUGUGAGACUCAGGGAAUGGCAUAGCAUUUACUUGUCACCUUGUUACACCAAUAGUAGAGAGUAUAGUUUUAUACAUGAUACUCUUAACCAGUGCAGGCUUGAUGUAAACUGUGAUCUGCAGUCGUUAUGGCAGUUU
This 577-nucleotide long non-coding RNA is filed under the name Homo sapiens (human). Its description in RNAcentral is "non-protein coding lnc-TEX15-1:3". Lineage: Eukaryota; Metazoa; Chordata; Mammalia; Primates; Hominidae. The record is from RNAcentral.